RNAcentral lists this ribosomal RNA (497 nucleotides) under uncultured bacterium. Its description in RNAcentral is "partial 16S ribosomal RNA". It matches the Rfam family "Bacterial small subunit ribosomal RNA", at positions 28 to 507 of the family's 1533-position model. The record is from RNAcentral.
GAUGAACGCUGGCGGCGUGCCUAAUACAUGCCAGUCGAGCGAACGGACGAGAAGCUUGCUUUUCUGAUGUUAGCGGCGGACGGGUGAGUAACACGUGGAUAACCUACCUAUAAGACUGGGAUAACUUCGGGAAACCGGAGCUAAUACCGGAUAAUAUUUUGAACCGCAUGGUUCAAAAGUGAAAGACGGUCUUGCUGCCACUUAUAGAUGGAUCCGCGCUGCAUUAGCUAGUUGGUAAGGUAACGGCUUACCAAGGCAACGAUGCAUAGCCGACCUGAGAGGGUGAUCGGCCACACUGGAACUGAGACACGGUCCAGACUCCUACGGGAGGCAGCAGUAGGGAAUCUUCCGCAAUGGGCGAAAGCCUGACGGAGCAACGCCGCGUGAGUGAUGAAGGUCUUCGGAUCGUAAAACUCUGUUAUUAGGGAAGAACAUAUGUGUAAGUAACUGUGCACAUCUUGACGGUACCUAAUCAGAAAGCCACGGCUAACUACGUG